RNAcentral lists this ribosomal RNA (433 nucleotides) under uncultured bacterium. RNAcentral describes it as "partial 16S ribosomal RNA". It matches the Rfam family "Bacterial small subunit ribosomal RNA", at positions 29 to 507 of the family's 1533-position model. The record is from RNAcentral.
AACGAACGCUGGCGGCAUGCCUAACACAUGCGAGUCGAACGAGACCUUCGGGUCUAGUGGCGCACGGGUGCGUAACGCGUGGGAACCUGCCCUUAGGUUCGGAAUAACUCCCCGAAAGGGGUGCUAAUACCGGAUAAUGUCUUCGGACCAAAGAUUUAUCGCCUUUGGAUGGGCCCGCGUUGGAUUAGCUAGUUGGUAGGGUAAAAGCCCACCAAGGCGACGAUCCAUAGCUGGUCUGAGAGGAUGAUCAGCCACACUGGGACUGAGACACGGCCCAGACUCCUACGGGAGGCAGCAGUGGGGAAUAUUGGACAAUGGGCGAAAGCCUGAUCCAGCAAUGCCGCGUGAGUGAUGAAGGCCUUAGGGUUGUAAAGCUCUUUUACCCGGGAUGAUAAUGACAGUACCGGGAGAAUAAGCUCCGGCUAACUCCGUG